UAAGAACCAUUCAAGCACCAAUGAAAAAUUUUGAUAAGGUGAAAGAAAUGGUCAUUCUAGAAUUCAAAGAUUUGAGAACAAUGAACUACGAAGUUGAGCAAUCUGAAGGGGAAAAAAUUACAAAAUUUUUACUCACUCACUAAUUAUGAUCCAAUUACAUUUGCAUGCUAAUGAAUAAAAGUUUUAUUUGCAUGCUAAUGAAGUUUUAUUGAUAUUUUUUUUAUUCGUAGGAAAAAGUCACAUACCAAGAAAUUUGCAACAAUUUGAUUACAGGUAUGUAAUCUUCCUUGGUAUUAUGCUUGGAUGGGAAUAACUAGUAGAGGUUGUGCCUUAUGCAAGGUAAUUCCAUAUUUCUCAGAUACAUCCAUGUCUUCUGGCUUUUGUCCAUCCGUGAGCUUCCAAUCAUAGUUGUAUAGAAGAGAUGCCAACACAACAUGCAGAGUUCUAGAUGCUAAUGGCAACCCAGGACAAAUCCUUCUUCCAGCUCCAAAGGGUAUUAGCUCAAAAU
This 508-nucleotide long non-coding RNA is filed under the name Glycine max (soybean). RNAcentral's name for it is "long non-coding RNA (GMAX_LNC001438)". Lineage: Eukaryota; Viridiplantae; Streptophyta; Magnoliopsida; Fabales; Fabaceae. The record is from RNAcentral.